This 6921-nucleotide long non-coding RNA is filed under the name Homo sapiens (human). Its description in RNAcentral is "HSALNT0392010". The record is from RNAcentral. Lineage: Eukaryota; Metazoa; Chordata; Mammalia; Primates; Hominidae.
UUUCCGCCCCCCCCCCACGCGCCCCCCCAUCACACGCACACCCAAUCCCCGGACUGCUCGCUGGUGCUGCUUGUGAGACCCAUUCCUAGGAGCCCCAGGCGCCCUUGGGGAGCAGAAAGAGGCGGUCCAGAGUUGGGCCGGACAACCGCAACCUGGAAGGAGUCCGGGAGUCCUUGGGUCUGGGCGCUCAGUUCUCACGGUCUGGGGAGAAGGGGCUCAGACGGGACGGACUAGGCACAGCCAGGGGCGGGGACUGCGAGAGGCGAGGGGAGGCCGGCAGGGUGUGGCGGCAGAGCAGCCCGGGACAAGUGAGCGGCCUAGAGAUCAAGGCCUUGGAGUCCCGUCCGAGAGCAGGACGUUAUCAGAAACCUCCAGCCCCAACCCCUGCCUGGAGAUGCCCGGGGCGCGCUGACUCUGUUCUCGCAUCACCCCGGGCCCUGGCUCAACGCGUGAGCAGCCUGUGGUUCCAGAUACCCCGAGUGGAGAGUUUGACCCCAGAUUCUGCCUGCACUGACAGGCUUGGCCUGGCGGUUACGAGCCACGGUUGAUGAGCGCCCCUCCUCCCGUGACCCAGCUCAUGAGAAAGGCGGGGAGCACCAACCCUCCCACGGGAAAACACGGGGAGAGGCUGGGCGAGUCAAGGAAUGGUGGCACCAGAGCCUGGGCGCAGAGAGGCAGCUGGACCUCCUGGGCUCCCUUGAGCCGGAGCUCCGCCAGGGUGGGCACUUCUGCCUCCAGCGAUGCUGGGUGCCACAGUCCUCCCGCCUCCUCCUGGACCACACGCGGCUCUCCAGAGUCCCAGGGAAGCUCCAGGGACUCCUCGGACUCCGCCUGGCGCUUCCCGUUUUUUCAUUUCCUACCCCACCCCCAUGCAGAAGGAAUUGAAGUGACUUUUUUGCUGGGACGUCGGGACCUCAAGUCAGUUCCAAAGUGGGAGUCUCUCAGCCGGUGCCGUUCCCUUGCGAGAUUGUUAACGCCAAGAGCCACAGUCCAGCUUCCCCUUUUAGAGAUCAGAAAAUCCUAAGUGCAGGGCCUGCCGGGUCAUUCGAGAAGGCACAAGCUGCGGAGGCCAGUCUGGGGCCUCUCGCAGAACCUCGGGGAACAGAGGCGUCUGCCGGGCCGCCUACCCUCCGCAAGAGUGGGCCACGCGGGCGGCAAACCCGAGGGCAGACGUUUGGGAGCUGACCGAGAAAACGCGACGGUGCCGGCGAGGUUCUGGGCGAAGCCUCGGCGUCCUCCACUGUGGUCGACGCCUUUCCUCGCAGCCCCGGUACAGGGCUUCCUCGGUGCACCCCUAGCCGUUGCCCCGGGAGGAGGCGCCGUCUGGGACACGAAGGGGCUCGGCUGGCGUCGAGGCUCCGCGGCCAGAGCGCGGCGGCUCCGCGCACGCCCAGAAGCCGUGUUGCCGGUUCCGGGGCUGCCGGAAAGCGUGGGGCCAAGCUGCUGCUCUGUGCCCGCGCAAGCGCCUCGCUACCCGGGCGGGACCUUGCUCUCUCCGGCCGCCCUGGGCCGAGGGGUGGCUCAGCAUCGUGGGGGCGGACGCAGACGGCCACUCGGCCGGGACACCGUCGGCCCGGGAGCCGUGAUGCCUUUUCUCUCUGCAGCUGAAGCCUCCGAUCGGUUUCCCCGCCCUUCUGUAGGAAAUCAAAUUCAGGGAACAUGGUACCGUAUUUACCCGCACAACUUCCUCCCUUGACAUUUUGCACUCUCGAAGUUGGGGCAGAAGUAAUUAUGCAAACAUCUGGGGCUGUCCCGCGCCGCUACCGGCACCGUCUUAUUCAUCCUGAGAGCCGCACUCCCUCAUUUGCAUAAUAAUGGCUUAUCUAGAAUAACACAGCAAUCAGAGGCAAAAUUAAUUUUCUUCAGCUAGUCCUUGAGAUCCUAAAAACAGAGGAGGCUUAUGGCAAGAAAAGCCGGUUUAGCAGAGGGUGUAGGGUUCCUGACCAGGACCAAGGAGAGAGAAAGUUUAAAGCAGUGGAAAUGUGAUGUUCACGCUGAGUUUCUGUAUUUUUCUAGUUUCAACCUCAGAGCUUACUUUUUGGCCAAACGGAUGAAGGGGUAAGCCACCGUGGAAGUCCCAGCAGAUACCCCCACCAUCGCCCCAUCCAUCCUGGGAGGUUCGGUGGCCCUCGAGGCAGAGACAUGGACUGUGGCUGGGGUAUUGGGGGCAGAUGUUCAAUGUGUUGGGGUGUGGAGAGGGUAGAUUGGCAGCCUACUGAGGAUUAAAGGGGUGUCCUGCAAACCAGCUCCGGGGUCUGGGUCCGGACCUUCCAGGGACUCAGUUCCGCACCCUUUGAACAGAUCAAGACAGAGCACUUCCUUGCUCUGGGAUGGUCGCCUCAGCCACCGAGACAGCAGAAGUCGUUGAAUUCAAAGCAGAAUAAAGGGGUGCGUGGGUGGCGGUGGGGUGCCUUAAGUGGAGGAAACAUCUUUUAUACAUUAAAAAAUCUUCUUGAUCUUUUUUAAUACGCAGAGGAGUGGGAGGAGAAAAUCCACAAAUAAAUAUGGUAAAUGAAUUUGGACCAGAAUUGUAAUUGCAGGGCCACUUUCAGGGCAAUUCCGGGCUCCAGACAAUUUUUGCAGUAAAACGUGUUUCCUCCGAGGGCACCAUUCUCACUUUUGCAGUCACAGAGCAGAGAGUGAGAGGAGCUCAAAAGGGCUCUGCAGCACCUCCCGUCACCCCUCUACGGACAAGAACGUCCUCUCUCUUGGAAAAGAUGCAGGUUUUACGUUUAAUGAGAAGGUGCCCACAGUUCAGGCUUGCAACUAAGAAGUUUGGUAUCAGUCUUAAGUUCUUUUUUAAAAUGAGCUUUUAAAUAGUUCAGGGUUACAGGAGGAAGCCUAGGAAGGAAUUGCUGUGAGUAGAGCAACCUGUGGGUGAGAUGGGUAGGGGGAGGAAAAAUGGGUGGAAGAUCUCAGUGACACCUUCAGAUGCUGUAUUGGUGGGAAGGGAGGAGGGUGCCAAGGGACUGUAGGGCCUGGAAAAGGGAGUGUCUCUGGAGAGCCGGGCUGCUGGGUUGGGAGGGAUAGGCCUCAUUUUAUCUCCUUCCUCUUCCCUUUGCGGUCAUUCCCACUGCCCUUUUGAGGCAGUCUCUAACUUUUUUACACCACCCCGACGGUGCAGCCUGACUUUAGAGGUAUCAUCUCCUUUCCAAUGUGUGUGUGUUCGUGUGUGUGUGUGCCUGUGUGUGUGUGUGUGUGUGUGAGAGAGAGAGAGAGAGAGAGAGAGAGAGAGAGAGAGAGAGACAGAGCGAGAGAGAGAUCAAAGUUUCCCUAGGGGAAGGGGGCGCUCUGGGGGAGGGGCGCCCCAGGAUACCCGAAGACUCCAGCUGUCCCCAGGUAUUUUCCCAGCCAAAAACCUCAGGGGGAGUUGGGAUUCCAGGCCUUCCAUUCAGUCCCAGGUUUCUCCCUCAGUUUCUCCCUUUUGGAGAGUAGGGAGGACCUGGGAUGAAUAGAAGAGGAAGUGGCCAGCAGGGAGGCCUGCAGGGGUUACCAAUUCUUCUGUUCCCUGAAACCUUUUCUUAGGUCUGCAAGACAGGAUCUCUGGCGGACCUCAUUCUCCAGCCUGCUCCAGGCAUUAUACGAGCUCUGGGAUGGGGGUGGGCAGUCCCUUGGGGAACUGUCCUCUCUACCCCACCCCCACUCUGUCCCAAGCUGAGGGGAGGGGUUGGACCUCUCCUCUUGAGGGGGGCGCCAUUCAGCCUGGAAGGGCCUGAGCAAUGGGAAGGGUGUCCACUGGAUAGGGGUGCAGGACACUGGGCUUCAGCCUUGGAGUGGUCUUACAGCUCCCCAGUGAGGGACAGCGGGGUGGGUACAGGUCCCUCUCAGGAGUCGGGAACAUCUAAGAGCAUAUCCCCAAGUCUGACCCUCACUUUGCACAAGUCUGGUGUGCAGUGGUGUCCAGCCGAAAUGAAGAAGGUGGGCACAGGUGGGCAUGGGGGAGUCGAGGGUCUUCAGGAGCAGGUGGGGCCAUCGCUGGCAGAGAUCACAGAGAUGUCGUUCCCAGAGUGAGGGCAUCGAGUGUAGGGAAAGAAAAGGGGAGAAAGACAGGAGUGGAUGUUGGGGGAGAUGAUUUGCCACGGCAAGACAGGGCAAGACUGAGUCACUUUCUCCCACAGCUCCUGUUGGGUCCUUCGGCACCUGCAGUCUAACCCAGGUGCCUCACCAGCUGCCUCUCUCAACACUGACUGCCCGUCCCUUCAAAUCGUGGGACUAGUGGCCAGUGGAAUCUGGGGAAGUGCCUCACGUGCUUGCACCACAAGAUCAGGUCUCUCUCCUGGAAAUCAGUGGUCCCACCUGCAGAAUGGGCCAGUUCUUUCCCAUUUUGUUGCUAUGACAGGCAUCUGUAAUGGACCCACAGGAUCCCAGGAAAGCAGGACUCCAUACUACACACACACACACACACACACACACACACACACUUGCUGUUUUUCCAAGAUGAGAAAGGAGUCCUAGGCUCGGUUUCUUCCGCAGCUUCUGUGGGUUCACGCAUCCCCUUCCCUGGAAGGAAAGUUUCUGGGGCUGUCUACAUGGCAGUUCCAAGGAUGCCCUGGGAAGUGGUGUGUGAAGGGUUGCAGGGCCCUGGAUUGUCACAGGGGGCAGGGCAGGGCAGAGGGUGGAGCUAGGCAGGACUGGAAGAAAGUGUGCAAGGGCAGGAAGGGGGUUGGAUCUGAUACCCACCAACCACUCAUCACGGCAUCUGCGAGGGAGUGCUGGGAAUACCUGUUUCUACAGUGGCUCAAAUGGACAUGAUGUGUUAUGGUGUUUGUAUCCCAUUGGUAUCUAGCCUGGCACAAGAGGGUGUACCAGAGUGCUGGGAGUGGACAGAUGUAGCCACCAUCCGCUGAGUGAGGGCUGCUCUGAGCCAGGCUUUGUGCUGGAGGUUUACGGGACUCUGCUUCUAUUCCUCAUCACAACCCUUAGAGGGAGGCUCCAUUUAAAGAUGAAGACACAGGCUCAGAGGGUUAAGUAACUUGUUAAUGACCAAGUUAAGUCACAGGACAGAGCUCAACCUAAAUCUGUCACCCAAGAGUUGAGGAGCCUAAGGGGAAGCUUCAGGGUAGCUCUUGCUGGUGUGGAACCAGGCACCUAGGGGAGCCGGGCAUGGCUGUGCUGCGCUAGGGUUUGGAGCUUGGCAUGAAGAGCAGCCUGUGGCAAUGUCACUGGCUAUGGCCAAUCCCAGCCUUUGGCGGGACCAGGAGCUUAGCAGCCUGAGACCAGAGACCCACUGGCUUUUCCAGCCUCUGUCCAGCUGCUCAGGGAGUAGGACUGGCUGAGAUCAAUGGUAGUCAGUUUCAAGUCCCCAUGCUAGGGCUCCUGGGUUCCAGGAUUGACAAGCCACAUUGACACAGAAGCCCAUGCCUGGGCUGCUGCUGAGAUGCACCUGCAUAAUGCAUAAAACAGUGGAUUGGGAAUGAAAUCCAGGCUUGCUCUGCCCCUGGCUAACUGGGUUACCUUGGACAAGUCUCUCUCUUUCUCCCUGCAAAACCAGCAUUCGGAGCAGGCAGCCUUGGGGCCGCCAGUCUGGUCUCCAUGUUCGACACCUCGAGAUCAUUCGUGUAGGCAUAUGAGGGUUUUCCUGAACCUUUUGGAAAUACUUGUUGACUGUUGAGUGCUGACCACUGAUGCACAUGCCCAGGGCAGUACACAGAACCCUGGAGUUUGUGCCUGCCCAAGAAGCUAGGGACUCCUAGUAGGAGUGGCAGAUUCCUGUCCCAGAUACACCGGGUACUGGCCACCAUUUUCCCAAUGAUGCCAGGCCCAGAGCUACCAAAUACCUACUAGGAGACACAGGGUGGCAAGAGGAGGACUCCAGGGGAAGGCCUGUGUGACUAGGCUACCAUUCCAGGCUCAACUCUGGCGAGGAACAAUCUAAGGUGUGCUCCUCCCUCCAGCCCCACACUGCUGGCAGCAAGGCUGCAGCUCAGACUAAUUCCAGGUACAUUCUAUAGGUGGCAUCAUGCUACUGGAAAUGGCCUCCUUGGAGAAAGAGGCUCUCUUGUCAGCAUCUCCAGGCACUGGCGAGCCGAGGCAAGGUUGACACAAUCACAGUCUAAACUGCGCGGAGAAGGACACCUGAGGGGCGAUGGGUAUGUGCUGAGGGACAGUCCUCUCCAUAUUAGGGGCCACUGCUCCAGGUGCAUAAGCUUCUUCCGUGCCAUCCACCGGUGAGGCCUUGGGGCCUGUGGGUGUCGGGGGUCUCUCCUGCCUUCUGCCACCCGUGGGAGGUAAAGGCCUCACUGUGCACCUGGUGGGGGUGCUAGGCGGGCUACCACUAGGUCUACAACAGCAUACACCUGCACCAAGUCGCCUUGCCACCAGGCUGCGUGAGAGAACUGGGUCAGUGCACCACGUGUCCUAGCCAGAGAGGCCCCUCCACACUCCCUGGACAUCCUGGGGCCACUUUCACCGUCCAGACCCUUGCAGGGGCAGCUCAGACUCCUCUUCCGUGGGCAAACAGACCAGCCAGAAGUGGGGAGAGGGAAAGCAAGUGGGGCGUCCUGUUCGAGACGGACACUGAGGUCACCAGCACAGGCAGGCGUCAAUCUGACCAAGGAGACCAGGAUCUCAGGAGGCUUCACCCAGGACCCACCGCCCCUCUGGCAGAGAAUCCCUGAGAUGACUCCUUCCUUGCCCAGAUCCGGCCCUGAUGGCUUCAAUCUUCCGAGCUGGGGGGCCUGUCCCCUAUCCCCCCAGCCUCUUGCAGCCUGCCGUCAGGAGCAGGGCUGGCACAGCGACAGAGAAGAAAGGUGUGACAGCGACACCUCUCACCUCUCCCUUCCACCACCUGGCUGGCUCCAGGCCGCCCGCGCCUCCAGGGCACAGAGCCAGUGGGUCCUCGUGGCCACUGUUCCCGGCCUCCUGGCGCUGAGGCUCCACGCAGCACUCUACCGGCGCCUCCCCCCGGCCCCCGCCCCCCGC